AGACCCGAAACCCGGUGAUCUAGCCAUGGGCAGGUUGAAGGUUGGGUAACACUAACUGGAGGACCGAACCGACUAAUGUUGAAAAAUUAGCGGAUGACCUGUGGCUGGGGGUGAAAGGCCAAUCAAACCGGGAGAUAGCUGGUUCUCCCCGAAAGCUAUUUAGGUAGCGCCUCGUGAAUUCAUCUCCGGGGGUAGAGCACUGUUUCGGCUAGGGGGCCAUCCCGGCUUACCAACCCGAUGCAAACUGCGAAUACCGGAGAAUGUUAUCACGGGAGACACACGGCGGGUGCUAACGUCCGUCGUGAAGAGGGAAACAACCCAGACCGCCAGCUAAGGUCCCAAAGUCAUGGUUAAGUGGGAAACGAUGUGGGAAGGCCCAGACAGCCAGGAUGUUGGCUUAGAAGCAGCCAUCAUUUAAAGAAAGCGUAAUAGCUCACUGGUCGAGUCGGCCUGCGCGGAAGAUGUAACGGGGCUAAACCAUGCACCGAAGCUGCGGCAGCGACACUCAGGUGUUGUUGGGUAGGGGAGCGUUCUGUAAGCCUGUGAAGGUGUGCUGUGAGGCAUGCUGGAGGUAUCAGAAGUGCGAAUGCUGACAUAAGUAACGAU
RNAcentral lists this ribosomal RNA (606 nucleotides) under Salmonella enterica subsp. enterica serovar Muenster. RNAcentral describes it as "partial 23S ribosomal RNA". It matches the Rfam family "Bacterial large subunit ribosomal RNA", at positions 711 to 1313 of the family's 2925-position model. Lineage: Bacteria; Pseudomonadati; Pseudomonadota; Gammaproteobacteria; Enterobacterales; Enterobacteriaceae. The record is from RNAcentral.